RNAcentral lists this ribosomal RNA (325 nucleotides) under uncultured eukaryote. Its description in RNAcentral is "partial 18S ribosomal RNA". It matches the Rfam family "Eukaryotic small subunit ribosomal RNA", at positions 1470 to 1796 of the family's 1831-position model. The record is from RNAcentral.
CCCUUAGAUGUUCUGGGCCGCACGCGCGCUACACUGACUACUUCAACGAGUUGUUUCCUUGAUCGAAAGGUCUGGGUAAUCUUUGAACGUGCAUCGUGCUGGGGAUAGAUGAUUGCAAUUAUUCAUCUUCAACGAGGAAUUCCUAGUAAACGCAAGUCAUCAGCUUGCAUUGAUUACGUCCCUGCCCUUUGUACACACCGCCCGUCGCACCUACCGAUUGAAUGGUCCGGUGAAAUUCUCGGACGCGGACUUGCGAUGUUAAUUCGGAGCUUGACUGUGAAAGUUAAUUAAAUCUUACCAUUUAGAGGAAGGUGAAGUCGUAACA